RNAcentral lists this ribosomal RNA (721 nucleotides) under Rhodococcus sp. IBT2679-B11. Its description in RNAcentral is "bacterial SSU rRNA". It matches the Rfam family "Bacterial small subunit ribosomal RNA", at positions 98 to 833 of the family's 1533-position model. The record is from RNAcentral. Lineage: Bacteria; Bacillati; Actinomycetota; Actinomycetes; Mycobacteriales; Nocardiaceae.
GCGAACGGGUGAGUAACACGUGGGUGAUCUGCCCUGCACUUCGGGAUAAGCCUGGGAAACUGGGUCUAAUACCGGAUAUGACCAAGGACUGCAUGGUUUUUGGUGGAAAGGUUUACUGGUGCAGGAUGAGCCCGCGGCCUAUCAGCUUGUUGGUGGGGUAAUGGCCUACCAAGGCGACGACGGGUAGCCGGCCUGAGAGGGCGACCGGCCACACUGGGACUGAGACACGGCCCAGACUCCUACGGGAGGCAGCAGUGGGGAAUAUUGCACAAUGGGCGAAAGCCUGAUGCAGCGACGCCGCGUGAGGGAUGACGGCCUUCGGGUUGUAAACCUCUUUCAGCAGGGACGAAGCGCAAGUGACGGUACCUGCAGAAGAAGCACCGGCCAACUACGUGCCAGCAGCCGCGGUAAUACGUAGGGUGCGAGCGUUGUCCGGAAUUACUGGGCGUAAAGAGCUCGUAUGCGGUUUGUCGCGUCGUCUGUGAAAACCCGCAGCUCAACUGCGGGCUUGCAGGCGAUACGGGCAGACUUGAGUACUGCAGGGGAGACUGGAAUUCCUGGUGUAGCGGUGAAAUGCGCAGAUAUCAGGAGGAACACCGGUGGCGAAGGCGGGUCUCUGGGCAGUAACUGACGCUGAGGAGCGAAAGCGUGGGUAGCGAACAGGAUUAGAUACCCUGGUAGUCCACGCCGUAAACGGUGGGCGCUAGGUGUGGGUUUUCCU